UACCAUACUUGUUAUGCUCUUAAAUCCUCUGGCUGAAUUAUUGGGCCUGUCAUAUACAUUUAUACGUUGUGUAUGUCACAUAAAUUAGCCCUAGCCACUUUUAAGCAACCAGCACAGGAGCUCCGCAGCACAGGAGAUUUUUUACCGAGCCAGUUGUCUGGGAGGACAACUUGGUGGUCGACCGGUGGCCACCUGGGCAGAUUUUAAAAGCCCCAAAACCGACUGCUUCUAUUCCUGUUCUUUUCUCUGCUUCGUCUAUGUAAACCCUAAUCUCCAUAUCGCUCAAACUCCAUCUGCCAAACCCUCUAAAAACUCAAUCUCUAUCAAUUUCUUGUGUAAACUAAGUGCUAGCCAAGGCCUUUGGUGAUGGAGAGAGAAGGUGGAUGGUUCAAUGCUGAGCUAGCACCCAAUUGUCCAAGGUGUGCCUGCUCAAAUUCAGAGUUCUGUGCAUGAGGCUUUGUGCGACCAGAUUGAAGAGGUGAAGGCAGCAAUGGGGAGAAUUGGAGAAACAGUUUGAUCUUGUUGUGCCAGACAUGAACAAGUGGGAGGUGCAUUCUAGAGGAUGAGGUGCAUUCUCUUUUACUGUGAUUGUAUAAAUAAUUUGUAGUUUGUUUCUUAUAUAGAGGAGUUGGGACACCAUUCUUAGGUUGUUUAUGUACUGGAUGUAGUCAUGAAAUAACAUGGCAGUAGUUACUCUCUAAAAUUUUUGUAUGGGAUUUAGUUGCAGUGGCAUCUCAUAUGGGUGACCUACAAUAUUCUUGAGAACAUUAUUAUUGUGAUUAGUUAUUUAUUUAGUUUUAUAUCGGUGCUUCCACCAUUAAAAUCA
This is a non-coding RNA of Camellia sinensis, 826 nucleotides long. The record is from RefSeq and is a predicted model, not a curated record. NCBI's taxonomy places the organism in Eukaryota, Viridiplantae, Streptophyta, Magnoliopsida, Ericales, Theaceae.